UGGUGGGGUAACAGCCUACCAAGGCAACGAUGCGUAGCCGACCUGAGAGGGUGAUCGGCCACAUUGGAACUGAGACACGGUCCAGACUCCUACGGGAGGCAGCAGUGGGGAAUAUUGCGCAAUGGGGGAAACCCUGACGCAGCAACGCCGCGUGGGUGAUGAAGGUCUUCGGAUUGUAAAGCCCUGUUUUCUGGGACGAUGAUGACGGUACCAGAGGAGGAAGCCACGGCUAACUACGUGCCAGCAGCCGCGGUAAUACGUAGGUGGCGAGCGUUGUCCGGAUUUACUGGGCGUAAAGGGUGCGUAGGCGGAUGUUUAAGUGGGAUGUGAAAUCCACGGGCUUAACCUGGGGGCUGCAUUCCAAACUGGAUAUCUAGAGUGCAGGAGAGGAAAGCGGAAUUCCUAGUGUAGCGGUGAAAUGCGUAGAGAUUAGGAAGAACACCAGUGGCGAAGGCGGCUUUCUGGACUGUAACUGACGCUGAGGCACGAAAGCGUGGGUAGCAAACAGGAUUAGAUACCCUGGUAGUCCACGCCGUAAACGAUGGAUACUAGGUGUAGGGGGUAUCAACUCCCUCUGUGCCGCAGUUAACACAAUAAGUAUCCCGC
Molecule: non-coding RNA, 606 nt
Filed under: Clostridium tepidum
Lineage: Bacteria; Bacillati; Bacillota; Clostridia; Eubacteriales; Clostridiaceae
Description: bacterial SSU rRNA
Rfam family: Bacterial small subunit ribosomal RNA
Source: RNAcentral